Molecule: ribosomal RNA, 253 nt
Filed under: uncultured bacterium
Lineage: Bacteria
Description: partial 16S ribosomal RNA
Rfam family: Bacterial small subunit ribosomal RNA
Source: RNAcentral
UACGUAGGGCGCAAGCGUUGUCCGGAAUUAUUGGGCGUAAAGAGCUCGUAGGCGGCCUGUUGCGUCCGCUGUGAAAUCCCGGGGCUCAACCCCGGGCCUGCAGUGGAUACGGGCUGGCUAGAGGCAGGCAGGGGAGAACGGAAUUCCUGGUGUAGCGGUGAAAUGCGCAGAUAUCAGGAGGAACACCGGUGGCGAAGGCGGGUCUCUGGGCCGAUACUGACGCUGAGGAGCGAAAGCUAGGGGAGCAAACAGG